UCUCUCUCGCUCAACUCUCUCCCACUCGAGCCUCUCUCGCCUGAAUCUCUCUCACAGUCACUCUCUCUCUCGGUUUCUCUCUCCCUCGCGUCCUCACAAUCUCUCCCCUGUUCCCCCUCGUUUUUCUGGCCGCCUGCUGUGCUCUCGUCGCCGCCUCCUUCCGGUUUCUCUCCCUCCUCAAUUCGAGCUGCUGUGUGUGUAUGUAUCAGUGCGUCUGUGUGUAUAUUUCGAGUGUGUGUGAUGGGGUGCUGGUGUGUGUGCGUGAAGGUGUGUGUGUGUAUUCUGGUGUGUGCGCGUGUGCUACUAGGCGGGUGUGGGUGUGUGUAACAAGUGUGUGUGUCUCGUAGGUGUGUUCGUGUGGGGCCGUGUUGUAGAUUCUUCGGUUGGCUCGAGUCCUGAACUAAUUUCUUUUAUAUACGCUCUUCGUUUAUUAUUUCGAUUGUUGGUUUAUUCAAUUGAUUAUCGGAUUUAGUUAGUAUUUGUAAAUUAUCUAAAGUCAUAACUAUUUCGUAGAUUUAGUUCAUUGGAUUUAUUUGUUGGAUUUGAUUGGUAUUUUUAGUUUGGAUUAUUCGGAGAUUGAUUGUAGGUUUGUUGGGAUUUGUUGUGUCGAUAUGAUAUCGACUGGUAGACCGAUAAAUAGAGGAGGUGCUGCCCGAUUUUCAAAUGAAAUUAGAUUUUAAAUUAUACGGGAGCGUAUCCUAUAAUUAUCGGACUAUUAAUCGAAUUUAUAUAGUUACUGAUUCGUGAUAUUUCUAUAAAAUCUAUAAAUAAUAUUUAUGUGAUUUGGUAGUAAUAGCAGUACUACAUAGCAUUAUUAUUGAUGUUAAUGUGUGAAACUGUGUUUACUUGGUAAUUUUAGGAUGUCGAAUAUUAAUAGAUAUUAGUAUUAUUCUUUAUUAUUAUUAUUACUUUCACUAGUAGUAAUAAUAGUAAAUAAUAAUAUUAAUAAUAUAAAUAUGCGAUAUCUUAAAUAGUUAAAAUGUUUUGCCUAUUAAUAUUUGAUUGUAGCGUGUAGAAUUGAACUGCUAUGAUGAUCUAACUCAACUUGCAAUUCUGAAUUGAAUAGUAUCUAAAUUGAGUAUUAUGGUAGGUGGUAAGUAAAUGUAUGGAAAUAUGUGAUACCUGCUAAGUGCUAUGUAAGUCUAAAUGUAAAGACAACCCUAUCUGUUACAUAGGGAUGAUAACUCAACAAUAGAACAGGACAAGUAAAUAACACUACGCCUGCACCGGAAUCGGAAGAUACGAAGACAAAGGUUGAAGAAGCCAUCUACAGUCUUGAAGGAAUAAGUUCACUGGAAGAAGUUCAUUAAUAUGUUCAUGCCUCAGUGAAGAAUAAAGAUUGAAGUAUUCAAGAUUGUGGAAGCAAUGAAGAUGUUGUCCAAGUACUCGAAAGAUUUCAGUGCAACCCCUGAAGCAAGAUAUUUCUAUAUAUCUUGGUUGGUUAUUUAUAAUCAACAAACUGAAGCAUAAACUAACCCGGAAUGACUGAUCAAGUAUAUUGUUAAGCAAAAGAAUUCAAGGGAUUAUUUCAGUUCGAGUCGUUCGUGAACCAGACCAGUGCACAGGACGUCAGGACGUACGAAAGUAUUCAGUGGAUUCAAGCAACGGAUUAAUUGAUCAAGUCAAUCGAGCUACUCCUGAAUGGAUUACCAAAAGAACCUUUUUAUUAUAUGUGUAUAUAUAUAUAUAUAUUAAUUGUGAAUUACCUGAAUUGAAUAAUUCAAGUAAUUCAAUUAACACAAUUAAUAAUAUAUAUAUAUAUAUAUAAUAAAGGUAAAUGGAAGUCCAAGGCAAGAUCUUCCAAGUGUACAACAGUGUAUACACUGAGGUAAAUGAAUCAGGCGCCAAGUUUGACUAAAAGUCAAAACUUGCGCUUGAUAUAUUUAUCAGGAAAUCUUCUAAGUACCACUCACUGGGAACACUGUAAAGGCGCACCAUUUGACUAGAAUUAGCGCCACUGUUGACUGAAAGUCAAGCGCAAGCUUUGACUUGGAUUAUGCUCAAAAUUGUCUAAGGCAACAGAUGAACCAGUUUUGGCGCAACUUUAAGUCAAGCGCAACAUUUGACUAAAGUCAAAUGUUGCGCCUCUACUCUUGCCCUUGGCGCAACUUCAGUCCAUACUUAGAUUUUCUAAGUACACACAGUGCUCUACAGUGGAGUCAUCACUGCAAUGAGCGCAACCUUUGACUAAGUCAAAGGUUGCGACUCCCAUCCACUUCACUAGAGCAACUACUGGAAUUGUUCUAAGUCAUAUCUACUGUGACACUGUGGAAGCUCUUGUGAGCGCAACCUUUGACUCUAAGUCAAAGUUUGCGCCUCACUCUCACCUUGGGGCAAAGUGCAAGUUUCUUGAAGAUUGUCUAAGUGCCACUACAGUGAAGCAAUGUUUAGGCGCCAUGUUUGACCUCCUGGAAGCGCAACCUUUGACCACUUAUAUGUGUACACAUAUAUAAAUUUCCAAGCGCAAGUUUGUGAUAUAUAUAUGUGUAUAUAUAUAUGUGUAAUUGGCGCCACUUCAAGUGCUGAGGAGUUAGAUUUAUUUUGAUAAAUCGAACUCGUCCAGGACGAACUCAAGUCGUCCAGGACGAACUCGUUAACCAUGGUUAGUUUAUGAAAGCCUAUAAAUAUGUGAUUGGUGUUCUCACAAUUUACACAUCAUCCUUCGGGAUGGAUGGCCAAGUGCUAUGCACAAACUCUCUCAAAUAUUCACACACCCUAGCCUAGUUUUGUACCAUAAAUAUUUGUAGUGGAUAGGGCUUGUAAUAUUUAGAGGAGUGGUCAUUGUAGCCAACCUUCGGGUUUGGAUUUGUAGCACCCUUCGAGGUAUUUAUCAAUAUACAGAUAUACCUUGGAAAAUAUUGUGUGUUGGUUUAAUAUUUUCAUAUCCUCAGAAACCGACCCAAUAAAUAUCCGGAACACGAAACCCAUUACAGGACUGCAAUUUAUUUAUCCGCAAGAUUCGAAAGAAUUUUAAAUUGUAGUGAGUAUCGUAUUCAACCCCCCCCCCUUUCUACGAUACUUUGGACCUAACAUGCUACGUGUUAAAUGUUAGAGUAUUAUUCUUGAUAGUAUAAUGUAUUAAUAUUGAGUUACUUUCUGUUUUAAAGAUAAGCUGUUAGUUUCUUUCAAUCAUUAUAUGUUUAGGUGCAGCAUGUCUGGGCGAAUUAUUUAUCAUUAUGUGUUAGGUGCCGCAUGUCGGGGCGGGUACUUUCUUAUGUGAUUUACUGCAUGUCGAGGCAGAAUUUCUUUAUAUUAGUAUUUUAUUUAGUUUAAAGAGCUUGAUUUGAUUGAUUUGAAAACAAGGGGAUAGUCCUAUUUACGAAUAGGUGAUGCCGAAUUUUCUAUAGAAAUAUUAACUUAAGUUACGCGUUCUCGUGUUAAAUAAUAUUCUGAGUUGGUUGUAAGUUGUAAAACUAUAACGUGUGCUACUUGUUAUGUGCUAUAUAAUGUGCCAUGUAUAUAUAUGUAUAUAUAUAUCACGAAAGGGUAGAAAUAAGAUAGUCGUUCUGGAAGGAUACUAAAAUAGUAUCUUUUUGUUUAUAAUAGGAUCGAGCAUUGAGGGCGUGAGACCAAGCAAAGGCC
RNAcentral lists this long non-coding RNA (3582 nucleotides) under Daucus carota (carrot). Its description in RNAcentral is "long non-coding RNA (DCAR_LNC007255)". The record is from RNAcentral. Lineage: Eukaryota; Viridiplantae; Streptophyta; Magnoliopsida; Apiales; Apiaceae.